Molecule: unclassified non-coding RNA, 324 nt
Filed under: Hevea brasiliensis (rubber tree)
Lineage: Eukaryota; Viridiplantae; Streptophyta; Magnoliopsida; Malpighiales; Euphorbiaceae
Source: RNAcentral
GGGAAUCCUCCAACCACCGUGCUCCGACUACAUGCAGCUUUGUAUUGUACAAAACAUGUUUCUCAGCCUCUGAGAAACUAUUUAACACUUCAUUGAACUUUACAUCGAUCUCUGGUAGAGACAUGACGACGACAUGGGUGGCAUGAAAAAGAUUGUCACCAACUUUCCCACCACCAACAGAAAUUUCAACUUUCAUCCUCUUCAUAGCAAGUUCCACUAAAACCUUGCAAUCUGAAUAUUCCAGACACUGCUUUGGUAUGAAAAAAUAAAUGCAGCAACCAUGAAACCGAGCCCAUUCAUCCUUGGGACAGUACUUUUUCUUGU